Molecule: ribosomal RNA, 253 nt
Filed under: uncultured bacterium
Lineage: Bacteria
Description: partial 16S ribosomal RNA
Rfam family: Bacterial small subunit ribosomal RNA
Source: RNAcentral
UACGUAGGGUGCAAGCGUUGUCCGGAAUUAUUGGGCGUAAAGAGCUCGUAGGCGGUCUGUCGCGUCGGCUGUGAAAACCCGGGGCUCAACCCCGGGCCUGCAGUCGAUACGGGCAGACUAGAGUGCGGUAGGGGAGACUGGAAUUCCUGGUGUAGCGGUGAAAUGCGCAGAUAUCAGGAGGAACACCGAUGGCGAAGGCAGAUCUCUGGGCCGUAACUGACGCUGAGGAGCGAAAGCGUGGGGAGCGAACAGG